Molecule: ribosomal RNA, 458 nt
Filed under: uncultured bacterium
Lineage: Bacteria
Description: partial 16S ribosomal RNA
Rfam family: Bacterial small subunit ribosomal RNA
Source: RNAcentral
CCUACGGGAGGCAGCAGUGGGGAAUAUUGCACAAUGGGGGAAACCCUGAUGCAGCGACGCCGCGUGAGUGAAGAAGUAUUUCGGUACGUAAAGCUCUAUCAGCAGGGAAGAAAAACCGGCCUUAGGGCCGCCAGACGGUACCUGACUAAGAAGCCCCGGCUAACUACGUGCCAGCAGCCGCGGUAAUACGUAGGGGGCAAGCGUUAUCCGGAUUUACUGGGUGUAAAGGGGGCGCAGACGGCGAUGCAAGCCAGGAGUGAAAGCCCGGGGCCCAACCCCGGGACUGCUCUUGGAACUGCGUGGCUGGAGUGCAGGAGGGGCAGGCGGAAUUCCUGGUGUAGCGGUGAAAUGCGUAGAUAUCAGGAGGAACACCGGUGGCGAAGGCGGCCUGCUGGACUGCAACUGACGUUGAGGCCCGAAAGCGUGGGGAGCAAACAGGAUUAGAUACCCCUGUAGUC